UCUCCCGUUUAAUAGAGACGGGAGAAGA
This 28-nucleotide transfer RNA is filed under the name Cyrtodactylus linnoensis. RNAcentral describes it as "partial tRNA-Cys". The record is from RNAcentral. Lineage: Eukaryota; Metazoa; Chordata; Lepidosauria; Squamata; Gekkonidae.